CCUACGGGCGGCAGCAGUGAGGAAUAUUGGUCAAUGGGCGUAAGCCUGAACCAGCCAAGUCGCGUGAGGGAUGAAGGUUCUAUGGAUCGUAAACCUCUUUUAUAAGGGAAUAAAGUGCGGGACGUGUCCCGUUUUGUAUGUACCUUAUGAAUAAGGAUCGGCUAACUCCGUGCCAGCAGCCGCGGUAAUACGGAGGAUGCGAGCGUUAUCCGGAUUUAUUGGGUUUAAAGGGUGCGUAGGCGGUAUUUUAAGUUAGUGGUAAAACGUCGGGGCUUCACCUUGAUUGGCCAUUAAAACUGGAGUACUAGAGUACAGACGAGGUAGGCGGAAUAAGUUAAGUAGCGGUGAAAUGCUUAGAUAUAACUUAGAACCCCGAUAGCGAAGGCAGCUUACCAGACUGUUACUGACGCUGAAGCACGAGAGCGUGGGUAGCGAACAGGAUUAGAUACCCUUGUAGUC
This 459-nucleotide ribosomal RNA is filed under the name uncultured bacterium. RNAcentral describes it as "partial 16S ribosomal RNA". It matches the Rfam family "Bacterial small subunit ribosomal RNA", at positions 338 to 795 of the family's 1533-position model. The record is from RNAcentral.